This 406-nucleotide ribosomal RNA is filed under the name uncultured bacterium. RNAcentral's name for it is "partial 16S ribosomal RNA". It matches the Rfam family "Bacterial small subunit ribosomal RNA", at positions 30 to 526 of the family's 1533-position model. The record is from RNAcentral.
AUUGAACGCUGGCGGCAGGCCUAACACAUGCAAGUCGAGCGAGCGGCGGACGGGUGAGUAAUGUCUGGGAAACUGCCUGAUGGAGGGGGAUAACUACUGGAAACGGUAGCUAAUACCGCAUACCAUCAGAUGUUCCCAGAUGGGAUUAGCUAGUAGGUGGGGUAAUGGCUCACCUAGGCGACGAUCCCUAGCUGGUCUGAGAGGAUGACCCGCGACACUGGAACUGAUACACGGUCCAGACUCCGAGGGGAGGCAGCAGUGGGGAAUAUUGCACAAUGGGCGCAAGCCUGAUGCAGCCAGGCCGCGUGUGUGAAGAAGGCCUUAGGGUUGUAAAGCACUUUCAGCGGGGAGGCGUUACCGGCAGAAGAAGCACCGGCUAACUCCGUGCCAGCAGCCGCGGUAAUUC